AUAUGAUGUCGGCCAUCCUCGUUGCCUACCUCACUACAUCAUGUAUGUAUAUACGGACUCCUCUUGAAUAUAAGCACAUACUUUGAACUCCCCCAUCAUAAGGUGAGCCGUUGUAGGAGUCACAAACGAUUGGAGCCCAUCAUGGUGGAAGGCUGUUGGAAAUGUGCCCUAAAACCAAUCAUAUGAUGAUACUUUACGGACAUUUCACAUGUUAAACUAAUCU
Molecule: long non-coding RNA, 223 nt
Filed under: Malus domestica (apple)
Lineage: Eukaryota; Viridiplantae; Streptophyta; Magnoliopsida; Rosales; Rosaceae
Description: long non-coding RNA (MDOM_LNC004186)
Source: RNAcentral